GUGCCAGCAGCCGCGGUAAUACGUAGGGUGCAAGCGUUAUCGGAAUUACUGGGACGUAAAGCGUGCGCAGGCGGUUUUGUAAGACAGUGGUGAAAUCCCCGGGCUCAACCUGGGAACUGCCAUUGUGACUGCAAGGCUAGAGUGCGGCAGAGGGGGACUGGAAUUCCGCGUGUACGCAGUGAAAUGCGUAGAUAUGCGGAGGAACACCGAUGGCGAAGGCAAUCCCCUGGGCCUGCACUGACGCUCAUGCACGAAAGCGUGAGGGAGCAAACAGGAUUAGAUACCCUGGUAGU
This 293-nucleotide ribosomal RNA is filed under the name uncultured Burkholderiales bacterium. RNAcentral describes it as "partial 16S ribosomal RNA". It matches the Rfam family "Bacterial small subunit ribosomal RNA", at positions 505 to 794 of the family's 1533-position model. Lineage: Bacteria; Pseudomonadati; Pseudomonadota; Betaproteobacteria; Burkholderiales. The record is from RNAcentral.